Non-coding RNA from Aegilops tauschii subsp. strangulata, 202 nucleotides. The record is from RefSeq and is a predicted model, not a curated record. NCBI's taxonomy places the organism in Eukaryota, Viridiplantae, Streptophyta, Magnoliopsida, Poales, Poaceae.
CGAGAGAUUUUUCAAGAUCUUGCUCCACUGCUGUGACACUCCUUUGGCACCGUUGAUGCACUGCUCCAGGAGAUUGUGUCAAUCUACCCUUCACUUUCACCUCCUACUUUGUCGCCAGUUGCAUCAAACCGUGUCUGCAAUGCACUUUCACUCCUUCAGUGUGUUGCUUCAUACCCUGAGACCAGGAUCCCAUUCUUGAAUG